AGCACCUAUACAGUGAAACUGCGAAUGGCUCAUUAAAUCAGUUAUCGUUUAUUUGAUAGUACCUUACUACUUGGAUAACCGUGGUAAUUCUAGAGCUAAUACAUGCUAAAAAUCCCGACUUUUUGGAAGGGAUGUAUUUAUUAGAUAAAAGACCAAUGCUUCUUCGGAAGUUCUUUGGUGAUUCAUGAUAACUUUUCGAAUCGCAUGGCCUCGAGCCGGCGAUGGUUCAUUCAAAUUUCUGCCCUAUCAACUUUCGAUGGUAGGAUAGUGGCCUACCAUGGUUUCAACGGGUAACGGGGAAUUAGGGUUCGAUUCCGGAGAGGGAGCCUGAGAAACGGCUACCACAUCCAAGGAAGGCAGCAGGCACGCAAAUUACCCAAUCCCAACACGGGGAGGUAGUGACAAUAAAUAACAAUACAGGGCUUUUUAUGGUCUUGUGAUUGGAAUGAGUACAAUUUAAAUACCUUAACGAGGAACAAUUGGAGGGCAAGUCUGGUGCCAGCAGCCGCGGUAAUUCCAGCUCCAAUAGCGUAUAUUAAAGUUGUUGCAGUUAAAAAGCUCGUAGUUGAACUUUGGGCUUGGUUGGCCGGUCCGCCUCAUUGGUGUGCACUGACCCGACCGAGCCUUUCCUUCUGGACAACUAUAGUGCUUUUUAUUAAGUGCUAUAGGGAGCCAGGACUUUUACUUUGAAAAAAUUAGAGUGUUCAAAGCAGGCAUUCGCUCGAAUAUAUUAGCAUGGAAUAAUAGAAUAGGACGUACGGUUCUAUUUUGUUGGUUCUCUAGGACCGUCGUAAUGAUUAAUAGGGACAGUCGGGGGCAUCAGUAUUCAAUUGUCAGAGGUGAAAUUCUUGGAUUUAUUGAAGACUAACUACUGCGAAAGCAUUUGCCAAGGAUGUUUUCAUUAAUCAAGAACGAAAGUUAGGGGAUCGAAGACGAUCAGAUACCGUCGUAGUCUUAACCAUAAACUAUGCCGACUAGGGAUCGGGCGGUGUUCUUUUUUUGACCCGCUCGGCACCUUACGAGAAAUCAAAGUCUU
This 1036-nucleotide ribosomal RNA is filed under the name Lipomyces yamadae. RNAcentral's name for it is "SSU rRNA". It matches the Rfam family "Eukaryotic small subunit ribosomal RNA", at positions 68 to 1107 of the family's 1831-position model. Lineage: Eukaryota; Fungi; Ascomycota; Lipomycetes; Lipomycetales; Lipomycetaceae. The record is from RNAcentral.